GAUGAACGCUGGCGGCGUGCCUAAUACAUGCAAGUCGAGCGAACAGACGAGGAGCUUGCUCCUUUGACGUUAGCGGCGGACGGGUGAGUAACACGUGGAUAACCUACCUAUAAGACUGGGAUAACUUCGGGAACCGGAGCUAAUACCGGAUAACAUGUUGAACCGCAUGGUUCAACAGUGAAAGACGGUCUUGCUGUCACUUAUAGAUGGAUCCGCGCCGCAUUAGCUAGUUGGUAAGGUAACGGCUUACCAAGGCAACGAUGCGUAGCCGACCUGAGAGGGUGAUCGGCCACACUGGAACUGAGACACGGUCCAGACUCCUACGGGAGGCAGCAGUAGGGAAUCUUCCGCAAUGGGCGAAAGCCUGACGGAGCAACGCCGCGUGAGUGAAGAAGGUCUUCGGAUCGUAAAACUCUGUUAUUAGGGAAGAACAAAUGUGUAAGUAACUAUGCACGUCUUGACGGUACCUAAUCAGAAAGCCACGGCUAACUACGUG
Molecule: ribosomal RNA, 496 nt
Filed under: uncultured bacterium
Lineage: Bacteria
Description: partial 16S ribosomal RNA
Rfam family: Bacterial small subunit ribosomal RNA
Source: RNAcentral